Molecule: long non-coding RNA, 634 nt
Organism: Bos taurus (domestic cattle)
Lineage: Eukaryota; Metazoa; Chordata; Mammalia; Artiodactyla; Bovidae
Source: Ensembl
CUGACCGCCUGAUGGCCAGGGGCCGCUCCCAGCCACCCUCGGACCCUGGAGAAGGUCCGGUGCCUCCUCAGGAGCAGGAAGACCUGGGAGAGGGAGGCAGAGUCUUGCAGGGCCUAGACUCUGCUGCUGAUUUGAAGUUGGGAUAUUUUCCCUGCCAACUUUUGACCCCAAUGUCUGCAUCAUUCUGCCCCAAUGAUGAGGGUGAGGAUCAGUAUGAAAACACUGAUGAAGAGGAAGAGGAUGGAAAUGAAAAACCUGAAGGACUCUAAAUGGAUGUGGUCUCAGCAAAGAGCAGCUCUGGAUAAUACAGUUUUCAUGCAUGUGGAUGUUUGAUAAAGCCUCAUCCUCAUUUUACACAUGUGGAAACUGAAGUGGGAAGGCAUAGAAAAAGCAGACAGCAAAAGAAAAGAUGAAUCUGUUCUUCAUGGAUAUUCUUGUUUUCAUUAGCCUGAAAUACUAAUUUUGUUUCAAAGUUUCAAUGCCCCAAAGUGAUACUAACUACUGACAUCUGACUUUACUCUUACCUUUUACAGAUAAUUUGAUAGUAUUGUUCACAUUGGAAAUAAAAGCUUGUUUGAAAGUAAUAAGCUGUAGUUUUGUUUUGUUUUGUUUUUUCCACAUUAAUACCACUGAC